Molecule: ribosomal RNA, 253 nt
Filed under: uncultured bacterium
Lineage: Bacteria
Description: partial 16S ribosomal RNA
Rfam family: Bacterial small subunit ribosomal RNA
Source: RNAcentral
UACGUAGGGUGCAGGCGUUAAUCGGAAUUACUGGGCGUAAAGCGUGCGUAGGCGGUUUGUUAAGACAGAUGUGAAAUCCCCGGGCUCAACCUGGGAACUGCAUUUGUGACUGUAGAGCUGGAGUACGGCAGAGGGGGAUGGAAUUCCGCGUGUAGCAGUGAAAUGCGUAGAUAUGCGGAGGAACACCGAUGGCGAAGGCAAUCCCCUGGGCCUGUACUGACGCUCAUGCACGAAAGCGUGGGGAGCAAACAGG